AAAAUAGGAAUUACCUUAAGCAACGUCUCUUAAUCGAUCUACAGAAGAGACGGCUCUCGUAGGACAUGCGUCAGUGGAGAAUACGAGGUAGACAACCCUUGCGUUCAUCAGCUUCUCCCACACCUUCUUCUUGUCUUUUCCCAAAGCCAUCGUUUCACCGAUAGCUGUCGCGUCAUAGAUUCUUAACGUUAUAGUCUCUUCCUUGUUCACGGUCGUAGACGGCGGCGGUGGAGGAGUAACCGCCGGAGGAGAUGCUGGUUCCGCAGGAGGAGUCACAGUGGCGGAAGAGCUUUCUUCAGGGGCUAAAGAUACGGAAGGCUUGAGAAACAGGGAAGCAGCGGCGGAGAGGAGUGGCGGCGCGAGGAGAAAAGCGCGGCGGGAGAAGGCGGUUGAUGAAGGAGGGUCGGAAUCAAAAAAAGCAACAAUGGAUAGAGAAUUGUUCUUUCUAGUGAGGUUAAUCGGAAGAUGAAGGCCAUGGCGGAGAGGAAGGGAGGAGGAGGAGAGGCAGGGGCAGUGAAGGGAUGGUUGAGAAGCAAAGAGUUAAUUCGUGGCCGUGAGUUUCAUUCUCAGACAAGAGCAACCCGUUUGUACACAUCAGCAAUAGUUACAUCCGUCAUUACCAUCCUAAGAACAACCAUCAACUAAGGAUGUUGAUUUUGAGAUCAUUGUUGUGGAUGAUGGGAGUCCUGAUGGCACGCAAGAAAUCGUCAAGCAACUUCAGCACUUGUAUGGUGAAGACCUAAUACUUCUAAGAGCUAGAGCCAAGAAGCUUGGUUUGGGUGAAUAACAGGGACAUGUCAAUUGCUGUCCUAAGGGCCUUUAUAUCCAAACGCAAGCAAGAGCAUGAGGCUAUGUUAUCUAAAAGAGCUAGAUCUUCUGGUAAAGUGCCUGAAAAGGAUGCUUCAUUCCGAUGGUGCUUCCCCUUCCCGCCCUUUAAGGUCCGUGAGCUCUGUUUUCACUGUAAUUAAGAUCAUUUAGAUUGAAAGAUUUCCACUCUUUUCUUGAUCGGAUCUUAACCCUCUUCAUUUUGUUCAAAGCUUGUUAUCUCUUACACAAAAAUUAUUUUGUUCUUUUGUUACAUAAAACUUUUUUUUUAUAAGAAUCUCUAAUAAAAGACUCCCAUUGGAGCACAAAAAUGUUAGUGUAUCUUAACUAGGUCUCUUAAAUAACAUUUAACUAGGUUAAGAUCCGCGCCUUGCGCGGGAUCAACAUUAUAUAUAUAAAUCAUUUUAUGUAUUAAAUAUUUUUACAUAUUAUGAAAUAAUAAAUAUACAUUAAA
This is a long non-coding RNA of Brassica napus (rape), 1279 nucleotides long. RefSeq lists it as uncharacterized. The record is from RefSeq and is a predicted model, not a curated record. The transcript has 4 exons. NCBI's taxonomy places the organism in Eukaryota, Viridiplantae, Streptophyta, Magnoliopsida, Brassicales, Brassicaceae.